This 462-nucleotide ribosomal RNA is filed under the name Alistipes communis. Its description in RNAcentral is "bacterial SSU rRNA". It matches the Rfam family "Bacterial small subunit ribosomal RNA", at positions 337 to 796 of the family's 1533-position model. The record is from RNAcentral. Lineage: Bacteria; Pseudomonadati; Bacteroidota; Bacteroidia; Bacteroidales; Rikenellaceae.
UCCUACGGGAGGCAGCAGUGAGGAAUAUUGGUCAAUGGACGGAAGUCUGAACCAGCCAUGCCGCGUGCAGGAAGACGGCUCUAUGAGUUGUAAACUGCUUUUGUACGAGGGUAAACGCAGAUACGUGUAUCUGCCUGAAAGUAUCGUACGAAUAAGGAUCGGCUAACUCCGUGCCAGCAGCCGCGGUAAUACGGAGGAUCCAAGCGUUAUCCGGAUUUAUUGGGUUUAAAGGGUGCGUAGGCGGUUUAGUAAGUCAGCGGUGAAAUUUUGGUGCUUAACACCAAACGUGCCGUUGAUACUGCUGGGCUAGAGAGUAGUUGCGGUAGGCGGAAUGUAUGGUGUAGCGGUGAAAUGCUUAGAGAUCAUACAGAACACCGAUUGCGAAGGCAGCUUACCAAACUAUAUCUGACGUUGAGGCACGAAAGCGUGGGGAGCAAACAGGAUUAGAUACCCUGGUAGUCC